This 534-nucleotide ribosomal RNA is filed under the name Eparchus yezoensis. RNAcentral describes it as "partial 28S ribosomal RNA". Lineage: Eukaryota; Metazoa; Arthropoda; Insecta; Dermaptera; Forficulidae. The record is from RNAcentral.
UUUAGAGGUAAACGGGAGAAAUCCGAAAAUCUGAAGGAAGUGAUUCACGUAUUAUCUACAUUAUAUUUUAUACUUUGAUGAUGAUUUUUAAGCUCCUCAAGUGCAAUUUUAUUGUACUAUAAAGGAUUCCGUUUAAUAUCACAUUUUGUAUAAAAAUUAUUAUAAUGUGGUUUACCGCAUUUCAAACCUUCCUUAAAACAGAAAAUGUCGCAACCCAUUGGAUUGCAAUUUUAAGAAAUUUUAGGUUAGCCUCAUAGAAAACUUGCAUUUCGGUGUAUAGUCUAUUUUUUAUGAGACCUAAAAAAUUUCCAAUUGAUUAUCCGAUGGUAUCAAUAAAAAAUAAAAAGAUUAACCCGCGCCACACACGGACGCGUUUGAUUAUAUUUAUAAAUUAUUUAUAUUUCAUAUGUUAUUUAUAUAUCUUUUGUUCGGUCCAAAAGGCCCGUCUUAAGGUUAACAUUGAAUAUAGAUAUAUUCUCAAACAGUGGUUAUUCUUUGUUUGCGGCAAAUAUGUUUCGGAAUUUCGCCCGACCC